Potamilus streckersoni is the source of this 69-nucleotide non-coding RNA. The record is from the annotation of a GenBank genome assembly. Lineage: Eukaryota; Metazoa; Mollusca; Bivalvia; Unionida; Unionidae.
GCUCUGGUUGCCUAGUGGUUAGAGCGUCUGCCUCAGAUGUGGGAGGUCAUAGGUUCAAACCUCAGAACA